This 422-nucleotide ribosomal RNA is filed under the name uncultured Anaerovibrio sp. RNAcentral's name for it is "bacterial SSU rRNA". It matches the Rfam family "Bacterial small subunit ribosomal RNA", at positions 355 to 794 of the family's 1533-position model. The record is from RNAcentral. Lineage: Bacteria; Bacillati; Bacillota; Negativicutes; Selenomonadales; Selenomonadaceae.
UGGGGAAUAUUGCACAAUGGGGGAAACCCUGAUGCAGCAACGCCGCGUGAAGGAAGACGGUCUUCGGAUUGUAAACUUUUGUUCUUGGUGAAGAAAAAUGACGGUAGCCAAGGAGGAAGCCACGGCUAACUACGUGCCAGCAGCCGCGGUAAUACGUAGGUGGCGAGCGUUGUCCGGAAUUAUUGGGCGUAAAGGGAGCGCAGGUGGGAAAGUAAGUCAGUCUUAAAAGUUCGGGGCUCAACCCCGUGAUGGGAUUGAAACUACUUUUCUUGAGUGCAGGAGAGGAAAGCGGAAUUCCUAGUGUAGCGGUGAAAUGCGUAGAUAUUAGGAGGAACACCAGUGGCGAAGGCGGCUUUCUGGACUGUAACUGACACUGAGGCUCGAAAGCGUGGGGAGCGAACAGGAUUAGAUACCCUGGUAGU